CUAAUCUGCUGCUACUAUUUUAGUGUUCUUCCUUUUAAAUCUACCUACUCUUUCUAGAUUUCUGGAGUACUAUAUAUACCAAAAAAAACCACAAACAACAAAUAAACAGAAGAUCACUGGACAUGAAUUAGUUUUGAGCCGCCUGUUUCAAGUCAGUCAAAACAUUCCAAACUUCAAAAGGAAAGCUCUGCCUUCUUAGACCAUUUUGGUGUCCCUCUAUGGUUGGCCUAGGAGGGAUCGGUUAUUUGGAUAAAUUAAUUUCUGGAGCCUGCUGGCCUUCUAGAAGACCUCAAUGUCUGACGGCAAAUUAGUUCUACUGAACACGAAG
RNAcentral lists this long non-coding RNA (328 nucleotides) under Fukomys damarensis (Damara mole-rat). Its description in RNAcentral is "lncRNA (ENSFDAG00000029797.1)". Lineage: Eukaryota; Metazoa; Chordata; Mammalia; Rodentia; Bathyergidae. The record is from RNAcentral.